GGGACCUUAGCUCAGUGGUUAGAGCAGGUGACUCAUAAUCACUUGGUCGCUGGUUCAAACCCGGCAGGUCCCACCA
Molecule: transfer RNA, 76 nt
Filed under: Lentisphaerota bacterium
Lineage: Bacteria; Pseudomonadati; Lentisphaerota
Description: Lentisphaerae bacterium (feces metagenome) tRNA-Met
Rfam family: tRNA
About the family: Transfer RNA (tRNA) molecules are approximately 80 nucleotides in length. Their secondary structure includes four short double-helical elements and three loops (D, anti-codon, and T loops). Further hydrogen bonds mediate the characteristic L-shaped molecular structure. tRNAs have two regions of fundamental functional importance: the anti-codon, which is responsible for specific mRNA codon recognition, and the 3' end, to which the tRNAs corresponding amino acid is attached (by aminoacyl-tRNA synthetases). tRNAs cope with the degeneracy of the genetic code in two manners: having more than one tRNA (with a specific anti-codon) for a particular amino acid; and 'wobble' base-pairing, i.e. permitting non-standard base-pairing at the 3rd anti-codon position.
Source: RNAcentral